RNAcentral lists this transfer RNA (72 nucleotides) under Cavia porcellus (domestic guinea pig). It matches the Rfam family "tRNA". Rfam says of the family: Transfer RNA (tRNA) molecules are approximately 80 nucleotides in length. Their secondary structure includes four short double-helical elements and three loops (D, anti-codon, and T loops). The record is from Rfam by way of RNAcentral. Lineage: Eukaryota; Metazoa; Chordata; Mammalia; Rodentia; Caviidae.
GGGGAUUUAGCUCAGCGGCAUAAGCACCUGCCUUGAAAGCAGGCAGUCGUAAAGUCGUUAGUUCGAUCCCCG